UGUAGACCACCUGUUUUGGAAGAAGGAGAUCCUCUUCCUUGAUGAAGCAAGAUUCUAUGUUGAGGCCCGUGCCAAGGAAUUGAAGAAAAUCUAUGGCCAACAGCCAUCUAAGAAAGGAGGCCCUCAGUCCAACAGAUCAAAAGGAACUGAAUCCUAUCAACAGCCAUGUAAAUGAACUUUGAAGUGUAUCUCAGGAUGAGCCUUCAGAUGAGCCCCUUGCCCUGGCCUACACAUUGACUGAAGCUUUGUGAAAGGGCCUGAAGCAAGGACCCAGUUAAGCCAUGUCUAGAUUCCUGACCCACAGAAAUUGCGAGAUUAUAAAAUGUAUGCUGUUUUAAGCUGCUAAAUUUUGUGGUGAUUUGUUAUACAACAAUAGACAAGAAAUGCAUCUGGGUGCUUUUUAUGCUCCCCUGGCCAAAAUGUUUCAUUCAGAGUUGACCACAUGAUCCAACUCAGUACAAUAAAAGUUAGGGUCUCUCUCCCUCUGCUGUACACACAGGGCAUAAGAUUGCAAAGACUUAAUCUUGGUGGUAUUGGAAGUCUUACUUGAACCAUUUGGAGUCUGAAAAGGAAGCCAACAUAGAGCAUAAUAGAGUAGAAAAAUGGAAAGAGG
Molecule: long non-coding RNA, 613 nt
Filed under: Homo sapiens (human)
Lineage: Eukaryota; Metazoa; Chordata; Mammalia; Primates; Hominidae
Description: HSALNT0193834
Source: RNAcentral